This 3291-nucleotide long non-coding RNA is filed under the name Mus musculus (house mouse). Its description in RNAcentral is "long non-coding RNA chr16:5813410-5816701". The record is from RNAcentral. Lineage: Eukaryota; Metazoa; Chordata; Mammalia; Rodentia; Muridae.
AGUCAGAUGAAUCUAUUAACUUGUCUGGUGAUAGGAGUGUUGGCUGUGGUCAUCAUGGUGAGGAGAGAAAAGACCUUACUCUCUCCCUUCUUGCCCUGUAUCACCACCAGCUUCAAGCUUGAAGUGGCUGCCUUGUCUCCUCUUAGGCAGACUUAACCGCUACAUGUGGACACUCAACUUCUACCUUCUUAGCUCCCUUGCUGAUGUCACUCUGUAACAUAUGCACAGUGACAUCUUUGGCCUUCCCCAGUUGUGAUACCCUGAUAGCAAGGUCAGGCAGGGAUACUGAGUCCUUGUGCUCAUGGGAUAAGGUCUAACUUCAGAAGCUGUAAGCAAGGUUGAGGGACAAAAGUCCGCUAUUAUGCAAGUCUCGGGUCUUAAAGGCAGAGGGAUCGUUGUGAUGAUUUGUUUCAGUUGUCAUCUUGACACAAUCUAGACUCACCUAGGAGGGAAGUCUCAGUGAGGGAUUGUCUAGAUUAGGCGGGUCUGUGAGGAUGUCUUUAGAAUUAUAUUGAAUAUAUUAAUUGAAGGGAUACUUUUUUACUGUGAGUGGCGACAUUCCCUAGGCAGGGCACCUGGAACUAUGUAAGAGUGAAGAAAGCCAGUAUGCAUGCUCAGUCCAGUCCUCGCUGCUCUUGAUUGCAAUGGGAUGUGAUCAGCCGCUGCCACAUUGCCUUGAAUUCCUCACAGCAAUGGACAGCAAUCAAUCUUACCUCCUGUAAGUGCUUUUUGUUAAGGGUAUUUUAUCAUGGCUACCAGGAUCCAAAACUAAGACACUCUUUCCAAAGCUGGAGGGAAGUGUUUGAAUAGAUAGCAUCCUAUUCAAGCCUGGUGCUCUUUGAAAUGAUAUUUGUGUAUAAUUAAUAAUUAACCACGUGACACCUUAGAAGAACUAGGUCUUUCUGAAUCCACUCAUGAAUACCACACCUCUACAUGGAAAUUUUAGUUCUAAAACAUUCUUGGUGAGUACCAUGAGGGGUUGGGAAGGGAACAAAGAUGGGUAAUAUUUCUUUAUUAAAACCAGGUACUGCCUCCCUAGGGUAUCUCUAGAAAUGUGUCCUGGAACUUGGAAUUAUCACAUUGAUGUGAGAGAGUGUGUUUUGGAAUUUUGGGAAAAGGAAAGGGAAUAGGGAAAACAAUUAUUCCACCUCAGCCUGUAUUGGAAAAUAAUUAAACAUAGAUUUAGAUUCUACUAUAUCUGUGACCCAAGAGUGUGUUUUGGGAUUUGGGCUGAUUUGUAUCCACCCAAGUCUUUUCCUUAUUUGCAAGGCCUGGACCUAUAGUGAAAAAAUCCACUCCUCAGUCAUAUAUGAGCCAUAAUGUUCACUCAUAUGCAUAUCUAAAGGCUGUUUGUUUCAUAGGGUAAUUGGUAAAUCACUGACCUGUAGUUCUGGGGAUAGAUCCCAGGGCCUUCUCUAUACCAGGCAAGACCUCCAUAAUGAAACUUUAGCCUCAGUCCACCUUUACUUUUAACCUUGAAGAGAAUCUUUUAAAUUAUUCUAUGUUUUCCAGGCUGGCCUUGAAGUCAGAAGUCAUUUAGUAGCCCAGGAAAACACCAGAAUAAAGAAUCUCCUGUAUCAACUGCCUGAGGAGCUCAGACCAUAGGUCUCUACCACCAGGCCCUACUCAUUCUCUCUUUGUAUUGUAUGGGUAUGUGGGUGGGAGAGACUGAGCAAGCCUGUGCUAUGACAAACUUGUCAAGGUCAGAGGACAACUCCAGGUGUCCACUCCUUACUUGGCACCAAACACCAUUCCUCACACUUGUAUGGCAAACACUUUGACCAUUGAGCUACUUCCACAACCCAGGAAAUCUGCACACUAUUUAAGCUUGAGAAAGACAAAGCUCUUGGGCAGUACCAGUCUCCUAUAGGCUAGGCAAGUGUUCUACAACUAAGCUACACCAUAGUCUGUACUUUACUUUCCAUUUUAAAAACAGGAUCAUGCUAAGUUACCCAGACUGGUCUUGGAUUCAUUCAGUAGCCCAAUCUGCUGUCAAGUUAAUGGUCUUCCUGCCUCAGCCUCCUGAAAGCUGACAUCAUAGACAUUGACUGCAUGGUAGCCUUCUGUUGAUGAUGACCAGAGUUUGCCAGUCAUCACUGAUUGUUCCUUGUAUAAAUCCCAGAACAGCCUCUAUGGUAAGUUUUUUCACUGCUUCCCCUUACAGAGAUGGGGACUGAAAUUUGGACAGGGUAGAAGAGCUAGCUAGCAGUGCUUGAGUUGGGGUGAACAGCCCUGAGCAAUAAUGCCCACUCCCCAACUGUGUUAUCCAUCCAGGACAUGUUCUCAAGAUCCCGUGCUUUGCUUUGGUCGUAUCCAUACACCAAUAUGACCUUUACAGUACUCUGUGCCCCAGCUCUGUUGCUCAUUUAAUGUCUGCAAUGGCUUUCAGUUUUAAGGAACAUUGAAGCUGGGAUGGUUUUCCUUAAUGUAGAGUGGAAAUAAAAACACUAUUGAAUUCAAAGCGGGUUCCUAAGAGUUCCUAGUGACAGACUUGCUCUAUAUUACUUGUACUUUUCUUAUCAGUGUGACCAAAUAUCUGACAGAAAUAACCAAAGAAGGGUCAACUUCAGCCCACAGCUCAGGGUCCAAUCCAUCAUGGCAGCAGGUAGCAGAUGGUCACAUUCUAUCCUUAGUCAGGAAGUGGGGAGAGAUGAAUUCUGGUUCUCAGCCUGCCCUUCCCUUAUAUACAUUCUAGGACUGCAGCUUGCCAAGCAGUACUUCACACAUUCCAAGCAGAUCUCCUGUUCCAAUCAACCCAGUUUAAAGAUUUCCUGAUAAUUAUGGCCAGAGGUUUAUUCCUUUGGUGAUUCUAGAUGCUUUCAGGUUGACAAUCUUUACUGCCCAUCACACUCUGUGUUUGUUGAAAAGGGAGAUAAGGUGUUAGAGAAUAAAGAUGUGUAGGUAGCAAGCAGUGUUGCUGGAAGGUUACCAUUAACAUUGUGAGCAAACUGAGUUUAAGGUGACUUACUGACUUCAGGCACUGACAGCUUUUCAUCUCUAGCUGUUGCCAGAUGCUAAGGUCUGGAGGCCAUUUUAACUUCCCAUAAUAUUGAAAGAUAUUGAGAGUGGUGGUCUAGAAGUGUUGCAUGAGAUGUUAUUGAAAAGAUGGAGGGUCCAGCAUGAUGGUUCAGUGAUAGUUGCCACCAAACUUUAUAUCUUGAGUUCAAAUAUAAGAAUACAGAUGAUAAAAGAUUGUUGUCUUAUGGCUUCCAGAUAUAUGAAUAGAUAGAUGAUAGAUGAUAGAUAGAUAGAUAGAUAGAUAGAUAGACAGACAGACAGACAGACAGAAAG